Molecule: long non-coding RNA, 345 nt
Organism: Rhipicephalus microplus (southern cattle tick)
Lineage: Eukaryota; Metazoa; Arthropoda; Arachnida; Ixodida; Ixodidae
Source: RefSeq, a predicted model, not a curated record
CACUGUGCCAACCAAGAAGACCGACGCAAGCAUGACUGAACCAGCCAAAAUAUUGAGGGAAAUGUUGAACGCGUACGAAGAGCAGAUACAGCGUGAUGGGGCAUGCCUCACCCAAUUUCAAGAGACGCUAGACAGCUGUGUUUAUCAAGAAGCCGAAACCUUCUUGUGGACUGGGAUAAAUUACGUGGAAGAAAAGAGGAAUGCGGCGUCAAAGAUAGUGUCAGAAAUCAACGGAGCUCUUCAACGCAUCGCAGAGAUCGACGAGCAUCGAGAGAUAGAUAAUCGAAAAGACGAUGACAGCAGUCUGCCAGACACUCAGUUGCAUGAAUAAAUAGUUUAAUGGAA